CUAGAUGGUUUAUCUGGGUCCUCUAUCUUGACUGCAUAACCUCGGAAGCCUUCAGUCUAAAGCUUGAGCAGUUCCACGGCUCAUCUGUUAUUCACCCCAUGAUUUCUCUUCACUGUUGUUAGUGAACUGUUGAUUCUAACAAAUUGCUCUUAUUGACUGAAGUAGAUAAUCAACAAAUGACCAGGAUGCCUUGAAUCUUCUACCAGAAGCAAACCAUAAGAGGAAAAGAACAAGUGGGUAGCAGAUACCUGAGGAAAAUGGACGUGGACCCUUCCAGAGAGGAAAGUCUGACCUGAUGACACCUGGGUCUCAUACUAUCAAAUCAAAGGGCUUUAUGGUCUUCUAAGCAUUUUGUGGUGAAACAUGGAGCCGACCAACACAAGCGCCCCGUUGAAUGCUUCAAACUUAGACGUCGGCCACUGCAACGCACACUGCAGGAUGAUUCUGACCACACUCUACAGUGUGGUUUUUCUUGGAGGCACUGCUGGAGCAGUUAUGAUGUCACGUAUGAUGUUGAAAAGGAAUACCCAGUCAAUGAUUGCCACGAUCGUUCUCAAUAUCAUAGUGCUACAUUCGAUCCUCCUGGUCAGCCUUCCGUUCCGCCUCAGCUAUUAUGUCUUAGUCACCUGGGAGUUUGGAUACUUUACCUGCCGAUUGGUUAGUAGCAUAAUAUACUGUCAUAUGUACCUCACCUUUGUUUUCUAUGUGGCCAUUGUCAUAUUCCGAUUGCUCAUCUAUUUUAAGAAACUCCAACUGCAACAGUUAAAAAAGUACCAUGCGGUAGUUUUAAGCAUUAUUAUUUGGAUAGUGGGUAGCCUUAUUUUUUUGCCAAUAUUUCUUUUACUAUAUGGCACAAGUUCAAGUUACUCAGAACAGCAACGAUGCUUUGAGUUCUACAAAGACUUCAACCACAGGGAAUUCAUCAUCUUGAAUUACUCUAUGAUUGCCAUUAUGAUGACAGUGGUGGUGACCCUCUUUCUGAUACAGAUGGGUGUCAUUGUUCAACUCAUAAAGGUUCUUUGGCCUGACCUGUGGGCUCAUCAAGAGUAUAGAGCUCAAAUCAAGAGCUGCUUCUUCCUUCUAGUAAUAGUCGUCUGUUUUAUACCCCACCAUGCAUUCCGGGUACACUUUCUUCAGAAUUAUUCAGAGGGAGAAAAUUCUGAGUUAGUUCUUUAUAAUGAAAUUUUUGUGGCUUUAACUACUGUCUGUUGCCUGGAUAUGCUGUGUUUCGUAGGUGGAGUUAUCCAUUAAAUACUCCUAUGUCAUUUACUUUGUAAUUUGUUUCCCAUCACGGUGACAAAAUAGUUUUAAUUGAAUGGGUGCUGCUAGCACGAUUUCAAAAUUUUUCAAGUUCUCUGCUUUUAAUCAUCACCAAAAUUAUUUUUCCAUGAAAAAGGAAUAAAUGUUGGUUGUUUCCUUCUCCUCAGAGAACUGUUAUCUGUUCGCCCUUAACCAUAGAAUGUAUUCAAUCUCCUUAGCGCCACGCAAGUUGACCUCAAACAUCCCUUACAGACUCAACUCCUACCUCUUUUGCCUGCAAUAUUUACUUCUGCUAAGCACACCUAUUGGCUUUCCCUAUGCACUACUCUCCAGGCUGUUCUACUCUUUGCAUUUGCUGCCACUGACUUUUGAUCUUAGAAUGUUCUUUCCCUCCAUCUCUAAGCUAUCUAUUCUUCAAGGUCCAGAGAACCUGAAGGUGGGAACUCUAUCGAAGCUUUAACUUACUCAACUUAUAAUCAACAUGAGAUAGCUGCCUCUUGAAAAUUACUGAUAGCUAGUCAUGCUGUAGCUGCUGGCUGUGGUAUCUGGAGGAAGAGAUUCACUCAGAUAGUCAAGAGACUUAGAAGAAACCCUUUCAGGUUGAUGGGGCGUUGAUGUGGUUUGAUUCUGAUUAAAGUGUUAGUAGGUACUCAGGAAGCUCAGAUGAUCUCCCACAUCUACCUUCCCAGACUUGGAUCCAUUAAGCAGAAAAAGAAAUUGGAAAAGGUGGAAGGCAGCUGGAGUUGGCUAAGCAUGCUGGCAGGCUGUAUUAGAGCCCAAACCUUUGAGAUUUGGGACUUUUAUUAAGCUUUUUCAAGACACCCAAUAUGAUCAAGUAGUGUCACAGUUAAAAUCAACACUAUCAGCUAAUGAGUGUCAUUUAAACUCAAUGAAAACAACCAUGACAACCAACCAAUCUGGUAUAGAAAUUGACAUGCACUUAAACCUUGCUCAUAAUAAUGCUACCUUGGAGACUAAAUUUAAUGAAUCAAAUAACCAAAACAUUGCUCUUACUGGUUCAUAAGGCAGCAGAGUUUAUGCAAAGGACUUUUGAAGUCAUCUGGAGAUCUGAAUUCAAAACUGUUUAGUAACUAUGGAAUCUUUGGUGAGGUAUUUGUAAUCUCUGAGCUCCAGUUUCCUAUAUUACAGGAUUUUGGUAAAGCUGAAAUAAGAUAACAGCCUGUGUUAAAUAGUGGCAUAAUGCCUGGCAUGUGGUAUUCAGAAUAAUAUUACUUCUUUUCCUAAUUCAGUGACACAUUUUGCAAGAAAAUUUUAAUACAUGACCAAAAUGUUCAUCCAUAUAGAAAUAUAUUUUAGAGGUUCAGAUGCUAUUGAUCAAUGUUGAUCUCAUGCUUUAUGUCACUAUGAAAUCAAUGACUAAAUGGAUGCUUUUUCCUAUUUUUGCCUAUAAGAACUUGCCAUUAUUAUUAUUACUAUAAUUAUUAGUUAUACCCCAAAAUACUCUAGUAGUACCAUUUUACAAUCCUGCCGUCACAGUACAAGAUGAUUUGUAAGCACUGUUUUAGGGUUCAUGGUAUGUCUUGAGUAGUAGUCACCUCAAGAUUGAUUGUGAUUACUUAUAGUCAGGAUAUAGUCAGUACCCAACUUACUAAUCAUAGGGUUGCAUGAGCUGGUUUUUAAUAUGGUAGACAGCCUCUAAGAAGGCCUCCAAAGAUCCCUGCCUCCUAAUAUCCAUGCCCCUGUGUAAUCUCUCCUAUAUUGGCUAUUGACUUCUUAAGAACAGAACAAGGCAGAAUGAUGGGGUAUCACCCCCAUUGUUAGAUUAUGAAAAGACUAUGCCACCCAUAUUGGGUACUCUCUUUUUCUUGUUCUCUCUUGGAUUGCUUCACUCUGGAGUAAACCAGCAGCCGUGUCAUGAGGCAGCGCACGUGCCAAAGAAUUUUGAGACCAUCUAACAGCCAUAUGAGUGAGCUUAGAAGUGGAUCUUCUGACACCAGCCAGUCGCCGUGGAAUAAGCUUGGAAGCAGUUCCAUUUGAGUCUUGAGAUGAUUGCAAUGCUGGCUGACCUUGACUGCAGCCUCAUGAGAGACCCUGAGCCAGAACCACUCAGCUAACCUGCUCCUAGAUUCCUGACCUGAAACUGUGCUCAUAGCACAUCCUAAUUCUGAGUAGCCACAUUUCAGUAGCCACACAUGGUUCAUGGUUAAAGUAUUGGACAGCACAGGUCCAAAUUAUCCAGAGAUCAUCUAGGGUUGUACCCCAGGACCCUUUCCUUACAAGAGAUGGCCAUGUAUCUCUCUGACAUUCAGUUUCCUCCUACGUGGAAUAGUAACAAUAGAACCUACUUUAGAGAGUUGAGAUGAAAAUACACGGUAUUGUAUAAGGUGCAAAUAUCAGUCCCCAGCAUGUGGCAAAUGUUCGAUAAAUGGAAUGUUAUUAUUUUUACUGUCCUUGUUGUAUAUAUUGGAAAGAGAAGGACAAGGACAGACAACUCUGUAAUCAGAUGCCCUGCAAUGUUUCUGGGACGCUUUAGCUUGGACAUUCUCAACAGAGACCCAUUCUUCCUUCCUGCUGACACCCUCCUUCUUGUCUCUCCAUCCCACAGCCAUCCCUGAUCUCAGCUGGCAGUGGGCCUCUGUGUUACCAGUGCUUAUCUGACUUAAAUGGUCCUUCCUUGGGGAAGUGCUCAGAUCCUGUGUCCCAGAGGACUCCUUCCUUUAAUCUUAUUUGACCCAAUCUGUGUUACUUCACCACGAGGUGUUCUCACCUAAGUGUGUAGUUGGUUUCCAGGUAUCCAUACAAAUUACUCAAAAUAAAACAAAUACAUUAAACAUG
Molecule: long non-coding RNA, 4056 nt
Organism: Equus caballus (horse)
Lineage: Eukaryota; Metazoa; Chordata; Mammalia; Perissodactyla; Equidae
Source: RefSeq, a predicted model, not a curated record